GUAGGUGGCAAGCGUUGUCCGGAAUUAUUGGGCGUAAAGCGCGCGCAGGCGGUCCUUUAAGUCUGAUGUGAAAGCCCACGGGCUCAACCGUGGAGGGCCAUUGGAAACUGGGGGACUUGAGUACAGAAGAGGAAAGCGGAAUUCCACGUGUAGCGGUGAAAUGCGUAGAGAUGUGGAGGAACACCAGUGGCGAAGGCGGCUUUCUGGUCUGUAACUGACGCUGAGGCGCGAAAGCGUGGGGAGCAAACAGGAUUAGAUACCCUGGUAGUCCACGCCGUAAACGAUGAGUGCUAAGUGUUAGGGGGUUUCCGCCCCUUAGUGCUGCAGCUAACGCAUUAAGCACUCCGCCUUGGGAGUACGGCCGCAAAGGCUG
RNAcentral lists this ribosomal RNA (373 nucleotides) under uncultured organism. Its description in RNAcentral is "partial 16S ribosomal RNA". It matches the Rfam family "Bacterial small subunit ribosomal RNA", at positions 527 to 896 of the family's 1533-position model. The record is from RNAcentral.